CGCGGGAUGCCGAAACCAGCCAAUGGGAAGCAGCGAGACGCGGAGAUUGGCACGGUGGAUGAGAAGAUUGAAAACAACUGGGUGCCAUGCUCAGGGAACCAGCAGCAGCUUAAUGAACAGUAACUCCCUCCAAGGCAGUGAUUCUCCAAUGUCAGUGCACAGCAGACCUGCCUGCAGGCUUCUGAAAAGCUCAGAUUGCUGGCCUUCCAGAGUUUCUGAUUCGUGAGAAAGAGGAAAGCUGGAGAAUUUGCCUGUCUAGCAGGUUCCCAGGUGUCGCUGUUGCUGUCAGACCAGGAAUCCCACUUUGAGAACUGCUGGCUCUAGGAACUCGAAAGGAGAAAUAUGAGGAUAAUUAAGAAGCAGAAACAAGUGGAGUAACAGCAAGUCAACCUCUACAUGGAAAAUGUUAAAUGCUUAUCAGAUAAGUUCUUUGCUGUCAGGCAGAGUCCAGUGGGGAAGGCUGACCACGAGCAGUAGUUCAGGAUGUUAGCCAUUAACUCAGGGACCUGCGGGAGCAAACAGGAGCACAGUGUUCUGGCUAGGUGGGGAAGAGGCUGGGAAGGCUUCCUGCAGAAAGGGAGGCCUGAGGAGUAAUUGCUGGGUUGACUCUUAAAAAAGGGCAGGUAUCCAGACAAAGGGAGGGCUUUCCAGGAGAAAGAACUAAAGAGGAGCUAUGGAGUUUUCAUGGAAAUUUUCAAGUCAUUCAAUUUUCUCAGAGGGGAGAGAGGCCAACGAGGUGGUGAUGACAACCGCAGAGGUAGGCAGGGGCUAGAUGAAGAAGGAACGUCAGAGCUGGUAAGGAGUCUGGCGAUAUUCUCAAGACCAUUAUUUGACAUGGAAUAUAAAGAACAAUUUAAUAAGUCUCCAUGAACCUCAGAGAUGAGAAGAGAGUACAGAACACAGCUAUCCCCAAUCCUUGUACUUCUUUCUCUGUAGUUAGGACUUCUCUACGAGGCUUACUCUGGUUUGCAGCUGAUGUCGAGGCCUUGCUAACUUUCUAGCCUACGUGUGAACAAAAUUCCCUUUCCUUUUAGUUUAGUUGAGAGCAUUUGGAGUUUCAUAAUGGGAAAUUUUUAAAGACUAGGCAAACAUAAAACCAAAGUGAAUAGAAUACAGAAUUUGGGUCUAGAGAUAAACAGACUCCUCUAGCUUGUCUUUCACUAGCUAUACAGUGUACUGCACGUUACGUCUUGUGCCAUAGUUUCUGUGUUUAAAUAGAGACUAAUUCCCUGACAAGAUCCAUAGAUCUUAGUAGUCUGGCCCCCACCUGCCUUUGUCAGCUUCAUCUUAUGUCCACUGAUCUUACUCUUUCUGCUCCAACUGCAUAAAUCUGCUUCAGUCUUGUUUUUCAUGCUCCCUUCUACCACAGGGCCUUUGUUCAUACUCUGUCUUCUGUCUGCAAUAGUUUUGUCUGCCUCUUCAGUAAUGCCUAGAUCUAGAUGUAAGGUCCACUCCCUCUAGGAAAUCCUUGAUCUCUCUGAAUAAGUAAAAAUCCCUCCUGUUUAUAGGGUUUUUUUUUUACUAUGAGGAACUUAUAUGAUAACACUUAAUAUUGUUAUUUGUGUCACUCUUUGCUUAAUGUUUCUCUUCUCCUAAACCAAGGGUCAGCAAACUAUUUCCACCUUUGGCCAGCAGUCUGGUUUUAUAAAUAAAGUUUUAUCGAGGGACUUCCCUGGUGGUUCAGUGGCUAAGACUCUGUGCUUCCAGGGCAGGGGGCCUAGGUUCAACCCCUGGUAGGGGGACCUAGAUCCUGCAUGCCACAAUUAAUUUGCAUGCCAAAACUAAAAAUAUCCCUCACGCUGCAAUGAAGAGCGAAGAUCCUGCAUGCCUCAACUAAGACCCGAUAGAGCUAAAUAAAUAAAUAAAUAUAUACACUUUUA
RNAcentral lists this long non-coding RNA (1880 nucleotides) under Capra hircus (goat). RNAcentral describes it as "lncRNA (ENSCHIG00010007990.1)". Lineage: Eukaryota; Metazoa; Chordata; Mammalia; Artiodactyla; Bovidae. The record is from RNAcentral.